RNAcentral lists this ribosomal RNA (490 nucleotides) under uncultured bacterium. Its description in RNAcentral is "partial 16S ribosomal RNA". It matches the Rfam family "Bacterial small subunit ribosomal RNA", at positions 29 to 507 of the family's 1533-position model. The record is from RNAcentral.
AGUGAACGCUGGCGGCAGGCCUAACACAUGCAAGUCGAACGGCAGCACAGGGGAGCUUGCUCCCUGGGUGGCGAGUGGCGGACGGGUGAGGAAUACAUCGGAAUCUACUCUGUCGUGGGGGAUAACGUAGGGAAACUUACGCUAAUACCGCAUACGACCUCCGGGUGAAAGCAGGGGAUCGCAAGACCUUGCUCGAUUGGAUGAGCCGAUGUCCGAUUAGCUAGUUGGCGGGGUAAAGGCCCACCAAGUCGACGAUCGGUAGCUGGUCUGAGAGGAUGAUCGGCCACACUGGAACUGAGACACGGUCCAGACUCCUACGGGAGGCAGCAGUGGGGAAUAUUGGACAAUGGGCGAAAGCCUGAUCCAGCCAUGCCGCGUGGGUGAAGAAGGCCUUCGGGUUGUAAAGCCCUUUUGUUGGGAAAGAAAACUUUCCGGUUAAUACCCGGAGAGAAUGACGGUACCCAAAGAAUAAGCACCGGCUAACUUCGUG